This 355-nucleotide unclassified non-coding RNA is filed under the name soil metagenome. RNAcentral's name for it is "partial contains 5.8S ribosomal RNA, internal transcribed spacer 2, and large subunit ribosomal RNA". The stretch from base 1 to 120 matches the Rfam family "5.8S ribosomal RNA", at positions 35 to 154 of the family's 154-position model. The record is from RNAcentral.
GAUGAAGAACGUAGCGAAAUGCGAUAAGUAGUGUGAAUUGCAGAAUUCAGUGAAUCAUCGAAUCUUUGAACGCACAUUGCGCCUUCUAGUAUUCUGGGAGGCAUGCCUGUUUGAGCGUCAUUAAACCUCUCUCAAGUAUGAUUACUUGGAUGUGAAGGAAGAGUACCUUAAACUUAAGGAGUGUUCUCCUUUGAAAUUGAUUAGCAGAUGGUAAUGUUAUUAAAUCCCUGAUGUUGUAAGAAAUAACAGUGGUUUUGUAGACUAUUAUCUAGCUUUAAAUUAUAAUUUUUAUUAUGGUUGACCUCAAAUCAGGUAAGGAUACCCGCUGAACUUAAGCAUAUCAAUAAGCGGACGA